Molecule: long non-coding RNA, 470 nt
Organism: Frankliniella occidentalis (western flower thrips)
Lineage: Eukaryota; Metazoa; Arthropoda; Insecta; Thysanoptera; Thripidae
Exons: 4
Source: RefSeq, a predicted model, not a curated record
ACCCCAGGGUAGGGCGGACCGUCGCGGGUGCCCCGCGGCAGGACCGAGCAUUCAGUUGGUACCUGGAGUUGAAUAAGUGUGGACGUGUGACUGUGGGAGUGUGCCGGUUGCCUGCCAGAGAGUGAGCUAGAGCGGUUUUCAGCAAACGGGCCAAAACUCUGUUGUGCGAGGGCCUCAGCCUGGGCCGCGGCCGACCGCACGGCGCAUCUGCAUCCGGCCAGCCACUAUGGAACGGAAACUUGUCAAGGGCCCAGCAGAGGUCACGUGGGUGCCCACGACCCCCUGUGCUCGGUGACCCCGGGUACGGCGGGCUGUACUCGCCAGGGCUGCGGCCAUUGACUGACCUUCAGUCACGGGAUGGGGAUGCGAUUCUGGUGACAUGAUCCGCGUUUGUCCAUCGACCCCCACGUAGCCGAGGACGGCGUGGAAGAGUCCCUGGGCCCAGGGGGAACAGCGAGGAGACCAGCGAC